AACGAACGCUGGCGGCGUGGAUAAGACAUGCAAGUCGAACGGGAUUUUUUUCUGUAGCAAUACAGAGAAAAGUCUAGUGGCGAACGGGUGCGUAACACGUGAGCAACCUGCCGUGAAGUGGGGGAUAGCUCGCCGAAAGGCGAAUUAAUACCGCAUGUGGCCAAGGAAGACAUCUUCCUGACGCCAAAGCCGGGGCAACCUGGCGCUUCUCGAGGGGCUCGCGGCCUAUCAGCUUGUUGGUGAGGUAACGGCUCACCAAGGCUAUGACGGGUAGCUGGUCUGAGAGGACGACCAGCCACACUGGAACUGAGACACGGUCCAGACACCUACGGGUGGCAGCAGUCGAGAAUUUUUCACAAUGGGGGAAACCCUGAUGGAGCGACGCCGCGUGGAGGAUAAAGGUUUUCGGAUUGUAAACUCCUGUCAUUAGAGAACAAGGCACACGGUUUAACUGGCCGUGUGUUGAUAGUAUCUGAAGAGGAAGAGACGGCUAACUCUGUGCCAGCAGCCGCCGUAA
Molecule: ribosomal RNA, 517 nt
Filed under: uncultured bacterium
Lineage: Bacteria
Description: partial 16S ribosomal RNA
Rfam family: Bacterial small subunit ribosomal RNA
Source: RNAcentral